GGCCACUUUCAGCCCAACCCUGGCCCAACCAAAAGUGAGUUGUCUUAACUCUGGGUAUAAAGGGACUCUAAUGUCGAAGUCUCAACGCAUAAUGCAGUCAGAGAAGUAUUUUUGUUUUUCUGCUCUCCGUGUUGCCGAAUGGCUUACCUAAAUAUGAAACUAAAUUGAAAAGUGGGAGGAAUGAUUAAAUCGAGGAAAGUGGGCGGAAAUGAUACGCAGCCGAAAACUGCGGCGACGCGUUCAGAAGUUCAGAUGGCAUGUCGAGCUUUACAAGAUCAACAAUAAAAUCAGCGCUAGCUUCGUGCGGAAUUCCGGGGGAACAGUUACAUGUUUGAAAUGCGGCUCGUUGAGCGGCUUGCCGAGCUGUCUGAACGCGCGUUAUUAGGAGUUCCAUGCGAAACCGUAGAAACCAAAUUCCUUUGGCUUAACUUGAAUGUUGCUCAUGGUGGUCGUUGCAUGGUGGUUUAUAAUGUCAUAUAAUAUAUGUACUACGUCAACAGAAGCGAAAGCCACCGCCAUUUUUAUGUCAUCGAAGCGAAGCUGAGUCAAUGAGCACUGUUCACGUUUGCGGCAUGUCGACGUCCUGCAAAGGCCGAGUGAUAAGUAACGGAAACAAACGUUUCAGGAAUUAAAAGAGAUUUUUCUUACACUUGUUUACUGUUAUGCCGGAGAAGUAUACUGUGGGGUUGCUUUAUAUUUUUUGUUUCUUCCCAAUUUUAUAAUUGUAGGUUGCUCAAAUCAGGUUUCAAUAAGGACGAAGAUUGACCGACCCCGGGAAGAAAAAUGUUCACAUUGGUUCUUACGGAGCUUUUGCUUCUGUUAGCGAUGUCUAUUUAAAUGCACGAAACUCAUCCAUGGCGGAGCUUAUAUACGACUCAUACGAAUUAUACGGAAGCAGUGGCAGGAUCCGUUGCGCACAAUAAUAACCAAUCAAAAACUUGAAUAUAAAACGUACAAGGUUUCGUGGCUUCCAGAUGUAACGGAGGUUCUUUUGAAUCGCGAUUUGCUCGAAGCAAAUUAAUAAAUAGGUAAAAAUUAAAGAACUCUAUAGGCACAGAAAAAUAUCCAAUGGGUUCUUUCAGUAACGACAUUGAUUAAAAAAACAUUUACCAGGAAUCUAAAUGCGCUCAAUAAUUAUUUAUCACGAUGCAAAAAUUAAAAAAUCUUCCCGCCAUAAAAACGGUUUUAAAAAUACCCAGUGAGCAACGGAACUCGAAACGCAUAUCUAUAGUGACUGAACUCUCGGCGAUCACAAUAAAGCGCGCUUCAUAUGCAUGGUGCGCUUAGUAUCAAAUAAAAAUGUUGCUCAGUUCUCUGUCACUCGUAAUAAGACAUGAGACGAAAUCAGGCAAUGUCUGUUGUAGUUGAGCUGAUAGUGAAUUCCACCCUGUAAGACUCGAAAAUGAGCUCGUUGCAAAAAAUUGUGGAUGGAUGUAUAUAUUUCAAGCUAAUGUCAAAUCAAGCCGUUCGUCAUUGCUAUAGCUUUGUCACUUUACACUCACAAGGCGCACCUUCAGUUACGGCGCGCGGCAAUUUCGCGACGUUGGAGUUUGAAGAGUUGCGCGAGUAUGGUCGUCUAUCUCAUUCUUUCGUAACAUCUGCAAUCUAGGAGAUAUUUUCAAAAUGUUUCUAUUGACAUGCUACUAACUAACAUGUCGCCUUACAGCGCCUCUGUGCGCCUUCCGACACCCAAUUGCCACUGAUAGCGAUCCUGCCCGAGCCCCUCCGGCAAAUCGCAUCUCCUAAUUUCCUAUCUUAUUUCAUCAAUCCACAUUUUGGCAGGACGUCCUCUACGUUUUCUGCUAGGGGGUGGGGGGGCCCAAUUUGGAACCUUCUUAGGCAACCUAUCAUCUGGCAUCCUUUGCUCAUGCCCAUACCAGACAAGCUGUUUUAUGAAAAUGUCAUGUACUGUGUUGUUUUCAACACCCAUAAUUUCACGCAUCCUUUCAUUCCAAACGUGAUCCUCCCUUGACACUCUGACUUUUCUACUGACAUGCUUCCAAUUAGGUACAUAUUUUGAGUGCAUUUUAGAGACAGCUAAAUAAAACAAUAAUUCUUAAAGUAUCCUAACACAUCAGAAACGUGUACAAACGUUUUUUAAAAACGUUCUAGCUGUGUUUCGGAAAUUUUUUGUCAUUUAGAACAUUGGGAAUAAAUAAAAACAAAAGUAAGGACAUUUUUUUGACUCCACAGGAAACACAUUAUCUGAUUUUGAUCUCAAUUUAACUUGAAAGGCAGGAAAACAUUUUGAUAAUUAAUUAAGGAAGCGAAAAAAUUAAUCACGGGAAAUGAUUUCUCAUUUCACUCCUUUAUCAUAAUACCAAUAAAAUUAUGAGAGCAAAUGAAUUCUUUGGUUGCUAAUUCAAGAGCUAAAACUGUGCAGCUAGUGCCGUGACCUUGUUUUUUUUCGGCCAAAAUUACCAUUAAAAAUACUGUGGUACUUCGUAAGCAUAAAAAUAUUCCAGCUUCUGUCUGCAAUCUACGUUUACACGGACGGAUAAUAAUCCGUCCCUGUGUUUUAUUUUUUGUAUAAUAAUUGUAUAUUUCUAUGUAUUUUCUCUUCAAGCAAUAAAUUAUUGUUCUUUACGUACGCAA
Molecule: non-coding RNA, 2595 nt
Organism: Bemisia tabaci
Lineage: Eukaryota; Metazoa; Arthropoda; Insecta; Hemiptera; Aleyrodidae
Source: RefSeq, a predicted model, not a curated record